CUGAUCAACUGAUUGGCAAGGCAUUGAUGCUCGGCAAUGUAUCAAGUGCAAACCAACUUCUUCGUGCAACCAUGCAAACUUCUAAUCUGGGCCACAUGAUCAACAUCCAAGGGGCAUGGGGGAUUGGGAUCAUCAAAUAGCUUGAUUUUCUUGGAGUUACCCCUAUCAUCAGAUAUUCAGAUUGCACAAGCACAUCUCAUGGUUCAACAAAUUUUGCGAUCGAUGAAAUCAAUGGACGCUUUGCGCAAGUACCCAUGCUGAGUUUAGAAGUCGAACCUGAUGACGCAAGGAAUGUCCGAGGGAUGUCUAACGCACAUCGCUGUUCCUACAGCAUCCCACGGCAAGUGCGAGGGCGGCAGAUCGCCGCUGCUGAAUCAUCGAGGUCGCAAAGCCAGCACUUGUCAAGUCUUCACGGAUGGCCUGCGCUGGUCUGCUGCCUGCGUUGCCUAAUGCCUAGCCUUGGCAUAAUGCUGUCUGUUCUCGAUUUCAGCUGUGCAGAAAACCUCUGUGCGGGCAGCAAGUAGGGGCACAAAAAGGCAUGCCAAAUUGGAGAUUGUAAUUGAUGUGAAUUUAGAGUGGAGUUCAGGAAUCGUGUGACUGAACGUUAAAUUGGAGAAUCGUGUGACUGAUGUGAAUUGGGAUUGUAACUUGUGAUUGUGCACUACCACCGGCUGUUAUCAAACUGCCAUACUGAAUUCUGUUAUCAAACUGGCAGCAUCAGUGAUAUGUUCUCAAAUUGAUCUGUUGUAAGAGCAAAUUUAAGUGUCAAAUAAGGAAUUUGCUCUUCGUUGUUUCUUCA
Molecule: long non-coding RNA, 799 nt
Organism: Panicum virgatum (switchgrass)
Lineage: Eukaryota; Viridiplantae; Streptophyta; Magnoliopsida; Poales; Poaceae
Exons: 2
Source: RefSeq, a predicted model, not a curated record